AAAGGAAAGCUCCGCGUGUGCUUGCACACAGCGGAGCUUUUUCUUUAUGAGGGCAGUCCAAUACGAGCGCGAAGUGGCGCGAAACGCCACGGGAGUGCGAGUGUUGGACAGGAUCGCGCGAGCAUGGAGUGCGAAGCGAUCCA
This 143-nucleotide small RNA is filed under the name bovine gut metagenome. Its description in RNAcentral is "Clostridiales-1 RNA". It matches the Rfam family "Clostridiales-1 RNA", at positions 16 to 157 of the family's 166-position model. The record is from RNAcentral.